GAUGGAUGGAUGGAUGGAUGGAUGGAUGGAUGGAUGGAUGGAUGUCAUGCAUCGUCUGACCACCAAUGAAUGCAUGACAAUCAAGCAGCUGAUUGGAUGAAUGAAUGAACAAGGGGACGGAUGGACGAACACUCAAACAAGUACAUGGACAGACGGAUAUACAAACAAGCAGGUAGAUGGAUGGAAAAGAUGAAUGAACAAGCUGAUAGAUGAAUGACAUGAUGGAUGGAAAAGCAGAUGGAUGGAGACAACUUUUGGACUAAAGUGUAGAAACUCUGACAGGAAACUGAAUGGUAAUGGACUCUGUUCUGCUCUGCCUCGCUGCCUCGCAACAGAAACAAGCUCCAUUGUUGCUGAAAAAUCUAUUAAAUCUAAUCAGUGAACCACGACGUCCCAAGCUGAGCAACACUCACUCCUCAAGUGAGAUGACCGACCCUCUGACCACCUCGAAGAUUUGGGUGGCCCAGGACAAAAACAGGAGAAGAAAGUGAGAUCCUGUGUAGAUGUCUGUACACGGCCACAGCUGACUGACCUCAGAGGAACGGAGAAGCAACAUCUCCAGUCCAAACAGAGCUAGGUGAAUAAAGGCCACUCAUUGUUGCAUUUACAGCAGUGGUUCGUUCUACCAGAGGAAUUGACCGGAAACGGGUCAUCAGCUGGGAUUCCAGAGACUCAGCAAAACCCCAAUUUUAUUUCUUAAAGCAAAACAGCCAGAGGUUGUCAGAACUGACUGGGUGGAGAAAAGGGGAAUAAGCAAUGCUAAUAAACAAAUCCCUUCACUGGGU
Long non-coding RNA from Poeciliopsis prolifica (blackstripe livebearer), 785 nucleotides. RefSeq lists it as uncharacterized. Lineage: Eukaryota; Metazoa; Chordata; Actinopteri; Cyprinodontiformes; Poeciliidae. The transcript has 3 exons. The record is from RefSeq and is a predicted model, not a curated record.